Molecule: ribosomal RNA, 922 nt
Filed under: Thermochaetoides dissita
Lineage: Eukaryota; Fungi; Ascomycota; Sordariomycetes; Sordariales; Chaetomiaceae
Description: partial large subunit ribosomal RNA
Rfam family: Eukaryotic large subunit ribosomal RNA
Source: RNAcentral
ACCCGCUGAACUUAAGCAUAUCAAUAAGCGGAGGAAAAGAAACCAACAGGGAUUGCCCCAGUAACGGCGAGUGAAGCGGCAACAGCUCAAAUUUGAAAGCUGGCUUCGGCCCGCGUUGUAAUUUGGAGAGGAUGCUUUGGGCGAGGCUCCUUCUGAGUUCCCUGGAACGGGACGCCACAGAGGGUGAGAGCCCCGUAUAGUUGGAAGCCAAGCCUGUGUAAAGCUCCUUCGACGAGUCGAGUAGUUUGGGAAUGCUGCUCAAAAUGGGAGGUAAAUUUCUUCUAAAGCUAAAUACCGGCCAGAGACCGAUAGCGCACAAGUAGAGUGAUCGAAAGAUGAAAAGCACUUUGAAAAGAGGGUUAAAUAGCACGUGAAAUUGUUGAAAGGGAAGCGCUUGUGACCAGACUUGCGCCCGGCGGAUCAUCCGGUGUUCUCACCGGUGCACUCCGCCGGGCUCAGGCCAGCAUCGGUUCUGGCGGGGGGAUAAAGGCCCGGGGAAUGUGGCUCCUCCGGGAGUGUUAUAGCCCCGGGUGCAAUACCCUCGCCGGGACCGAGGACCGCGCUCUGCAAGGAUGCUGGCGUAAUGGUCACCAGCGACCCGUCUUGAAACACGGACCAAGGAGUCAAGGUUUUGCGCGAGUGUUUGGGUGUAAAACCCGCACGCGUAAUGAAAGUGAACGUAGGUGAGAGCUUCGGCGCAUCAUCGACCGAUCCUGAUGUAUUCGGAUGGAUUUGAGUAGGAGCGUUAAGCCUUGGACCCGAAAGAUGGUGAACUAUGCUUGGAUAGGGUGAAGCCAGAGGAAACUCUGGUGGAGGCUCGCAGCGGUUCUGACGUGCAAAUCGAUCGUCAAAUCUGAGCAUGGGGGCGAAAGACUAAUCGAACCAUCUAGUAGCUGGUUACCGCCGAAGUUUCCCUCAGGAU